AAAGAGAAAUGAUCAGUAAAUUAUGAUACCAAAACAAUAAACAUGAGGGUUCCUCUUGAUUUAUUUCUGUUUCCGACCUUGCCAAUUUUAGAACCAGUAUGAUGAUGUCCAUCCAUCCAUCAACGAGCAUAGCCACAAGUAUCAUAAAUGUCACAAAUUUGAAAAUGAGUAUAUUUGAUAUUAUAACUUUUUGUUAGACAGAAUGAAAAAAUGGACUUUGUAGCCAAACCCCACCCUAGACAGGUAUAUGAUAAGUAUUGAAGGGUAUCAUGGAAUUGUCCCAUAGUUAAAAUAUAGAAGAACUUACAAUCUUCACAUAGGAGAAAUCG
RNAcentral lists this long non-coding RNA (329 nucleotides) under Helianthus annuus (common sunflower). RNAcentral's name for it is "sRNA HanXRQr2_Chr05g0236201". Lineage: Eukaryota; Viridiplantae; Streptophyta; Magnoliopsida; Asterales; Asteraceae. The record is from RNAcentral.